Molecule: long non-coding RNA, 213 nt
Filed under: Panax ginseng (ginseng)
Lineage: Eukaryota; Viridiplantae; Streptophyta; Magnoliopsida; Apiales; Araliaceae
Description: long non-coding RNA (PGIN_LNC009774)
Source: RNAcentral
GUUCGGCAGCUCCUGCAGAUAGCUUGGAUAAAAAUUCUUCAAAGUCUUUCACAUCCGAAGAGGUCGGUUUAAUCAAAGAUACUGCAGAAAGCAGAAAAACAUGUAUCAGAAUCCAUAUUGUCAAAAAUUUCAAAUAAUCAUAUUCCCAAAUGAUUUGAAACUUACAUUUAUGGUCAUAUAACCAUGCUUGCUUGUUAAGAAGUAAGUAAUUCC